Molecule: long non-coding RNA, 483 nt
Filed under: Panax ginseng (ginseng)
Lineage: Eukaryota; Viridiplantae; Streptophyta; Magnoliopsida; Apiales; Araliaceae
Description: long non-coding RNA (PGIN_LNC008973)
Source: RNAcentral
CAAGAUACUAGGAAAGCUAUGUAUUUAGUUGUAUUUAUUUAUAGUGAUGAGAGAGGAUUCAUGAGAAAACAUAGAACCAGUAUAGGAAAGAAACAGAAAAAGAUUGAACAAGAUGGGUCCUGCUGCGUCUAAGAGAGGAAUUGAUCAUAAACCCGGAACGGAGGAUUUCACUGAGAACAGGAGACAUGAAUCUCAAGCAUCAAGUACAAGAUCUGCAGCAUCAACAACAAAUAAAAUAGCUGGAAUUUUUGUUGCAACUUUGAACAAAUGGGGUUUUAGAUCCAAACAAAAGAAAUCUGAGGCCAAACAAGCAAAAUCUAUCUACCACAGAAAUAUAAAACAAGCAGAGCAGGGAAACAGAUCUUAGAGAAAGAGAGGCAGAAAAACACAAUAAUCUAAAGCUCAAAUCUGUAGAGGAAGAAGAGAAGAGAAGAGAAGGAGAAGAGAUUUUGGAGAUUGGGGAGGAGUUGAUUUAUAGAUGAG